AUGCAAGAAGUUCGUGGAUAGUUUGAAGCUAUCUUUUUCAUAUUUAUUUAUGAUGUGUGCU
This 61-nucleotide transfer RNA is filed under the name Morishitium polonicum. Its description in RNAcentral is "tRNA-Ser". The record is from RNAcentral. Lineage: Eukaryota; Metazoa; Platyhelminthes; Trematoda; Plagiorchiida; Cyclocoelidae.